Long non-coding RNA from Etheostoma cragini (Arkansas darter), 182 nucleotides. RefSeq lists it as uncharacterized. The transcript is spliced from 4 exons. Lineage: Eukaryota; Metazoa; Chordata; Actinopteri; Perciformes; Percidae. The record is from RefSeq and is a predicted model, not a curated record.
GCCAGGAGUCAGGGUGACUGCAACUCUCUGUUGUAAACUUAUUGGGUUAAGAGUUCUUUUAUGGUGAAUGAAAGGCUUGAUUCGACUAAGUAGGUCAUUGAAUCAAAUCGAAACAUUGACAACAAUGCUGCUGCCAGUUCUGCCGUUGUUUACCUUUUUCUUCUUCUUCUAGUCUCUAGAAA